GGUGGCUCAGUGGAUAGAGCACCAGCCUGUGGACUGAAGGGUCCCGGGUUCGAUUCCCGGCC
This 62-nucleotide transfer RNA is filed under the name Myotis brandtii (Brandt's bat). It matches the Rfam family "tRNA", at positions 6 to 65 of the family's 71-position model. From Rfam's summary of the family: Transfer RNA (tRNA) molecules are approximately 80 nucleotides in length. Lineage: Eukaryota; Metazoa; Chordata; Mammalia; Chiroptera; Vespertilionidae. The record is from Rfam by way of RNAcentral.